GGGGGUGGGGUUGGUGAUGGCUUGGGAUUGGGAUGGGGAUGGGGAUGGCUUCAAGAUUAAUAGGCGGGCUUAGAGAAGAGGUCAUGGGCAGUGGAGAAGGAUUUGGAGAUGGAGGUGGGAUCGCUAGGGUCGAUGGAGGAUGAAGAAGGUGAAGCCAAUGAGAAUGCCGAUGGAGGAUCUAGAGAUGAAGAAGGUGAAGUUGGGGUAGAUGGAGGAUCUAAAGAUGAAUAAGGCGGAGUUAAGGUAGAUGGAUGAUCUAGAGAGGGAUGUAUUUUUUUUUUUUUUGGGUGUUGAAGCUGAUUUUCUUAAUUUUUGAGUUUUUUUUUAAAAUUAAUUUAAUAUUUAAACAGUUAUUUAUGUAUUUUUUAAUCCAUGUGGUAUCCACCUGAGUAAAAAAAAGCCACAUUAGAGUAGCCACGUCAUCACUUAACACCUCCACUAACUGUCUGACUAAUGGAGUGACUCAAUUGUGUGUUUUACAAAAGGUCAGGUACGUCAAUGAAAAAUUUCAAAGGUCUAGUACUAAUUUGAAACGAACCCUAAAGGUUGGGUACUUUUAUAUAGUUAAUCCAAUAAACUAACAUGGGAAAAAAUUUAUGCAAUUAAAUACAAUUUAGAUAAAUAAACAUGGCUCCACUAUUGGUCAUAUUAUAGUUGCCCCAAUCUAAAAUAAACUAGAAUAAGGAUACAAAUAUUUUUGCUUUCUU
This 707-nucleotide long non-coding RNA is filed under the name Prunus persica (peach). RNAcentral describes it as "long non-coding RNA (PPER_LNC004294)". Lineage: Eukaryota; Viridiplantae; Streptophyta; Magnoliopsida; Rosales; Rosaceae. The record is from RNAcentral.